RNAcentral lists this ribosomal RNA (336 nucleotides) under Gambierdiscus australes. Its description in RNAcentral is "partial Bacterial large subunit ribosomal RNA". It matches the Rfam family "Bacterial large subunit ribosomal RNA", at positions 1378 to 1819 of the family's 2925-position model. The record is from RNAcentral. Lineage: Eukaryota; Dinophyceae; Gonyaulacales; Pyrocystaceae.
GGUUAGCCGGCCCCUAAGGCAAGGCCGAAAGGCGUAGUCGAUGGGAAACAGGUGAAUAUUCCUGUGCCAGAGGAUGUGUGACGGAUUGAGUAAGUUGUCCAACCUUAUUGGAUUAGUUGGGCCGCGAAUCAGUCCCUGGAAAUAGCCUCCUCAUAAGACCGUACCCUAAACCGACACAGGUGGACAGGUAGAGCAUACCAAGGCGCUUGAGAGAACUGCAUUGAAGGAACUCUGCAAAUUACUCCCGUAAGUUCGCGAGAAGGGAGCCCGCUUUGAAGGCAACUUUGAGGCGGGGGCACAAACCAGGUGGUAUCGACUGUUUACUAAAAACACAGG